GUGUCAGCAGCCGCGGUAAUACGGAGGGUGCAAGCGUUGUUCGGAAUUACUGGGCGUAAAGCGCGCGUAGGCGGUUUGCUCAGUCAGAUGUGAAAGCCCUCGGCUUAACCGGGGACGUGCAUUUGAAACUGGCAGACUUGAGUAUUGGAGGGGGUGGUGGAAUUCCCGGUGUAGAGGUGAAAUUCGUAGAUAUCGGGAGGAAUACCGGUGGCGAAGGCGACCACCUGGCCAAAUACUGACGCUGAGGUGCGAAAGCGUGGGGAGCAAACAGGAUUAGAAACCCUAGUAGUCC
RNAcentral lists this ribosomal RNA (292 nucleotides) under uncultured bacterium. RNAcentral's name for it is "partial 16S ribosomal RNA". It matches the Rfam family "Bacterial small subunit ribosomal RNA", at positions 505 to 796 of the family's 1533-position model. The record is from RNAcentral.